Molecule: long non-coding RNA, 1823 nt
Organism: Dunckerocampus dactyliophorus (ringed pipefish)
Lineage: Eukaryota; Metazoa; Chordata; Actinopteri; Syngnathiformes; Syngnathidae
Exons: 3
Source: RefSeq, a predicted model, not a curated record
CUGAGUGGAAAACUUGUCAUGCACAAGAAUCCCGUGAUGGCACAGAACUAGGGGAGUUUAGUACGCGUGUAUGAAGCGGCAUCGCAAGGGAAACUCCCACGAGAUGGCAAAAAGUCAUCAGCUAUAACAGAAAAGAGGAAGCCCCUGUCAGUGGGUCACGGUGGUAUGCUGGAGGUAUCCCAGCUGACUUCGGGCAAGAGGCGGGGUACACCCUGGACUGGCCGGCGCCUCUCUCCAUUUACCCAGCAGCAUGUCACAUGCAAACAUCUCCGAGGCUCCCAGGAUCGACUUACCACUCAGUGGCUCCUCAGCUGAUUCGGAGGAAAGGAGUCGUGCGGGAGCAGCUGACCAGCAGCCUCGCAUCUAUACACACCGACUGGCUGUCAAGACUACCAUUCAGAUAGAGUCUGACACAGGAUGAAGAAGCCACACCCCCCUCCCCAACCAGCACCACCGUCGAGUUAUCUGACCAGCUGACUUUCUGGCUGGCUGCAGGGAUGGGUAGACAAUUCUAUUAAGCUUUGCUAGAGUUGCUAUGGUGGCGAAGAUAAAAGAGGCCGACAAAGCAGCUGAAUUACAAUUACAGAAAUGAAAUUAACUGCUGAACAACGGAACACAAAGAAUAUCUGUUGGAACGACUAAGAGACUGCAUGUUGACUUGUUGAGCAGCGGGCUCACUGAUUUGUUGCCUGACUCGUUCACGCUUGGCGUGCACACGCCUGCAAACUAGGUUUUUUACCUAUUGACUUUAACAUGUACAAUGGGAGAAAUCAUUCUUUGAUCCCCUGCUGACCUACCAUAAAAAUUACGCAGUUUAUGUUACUUAUAAUUAUUUCCCCCACUGUAGUUUUUAACCUUCCCUUUUAUUCCUUGUGAUUGUCUCUUGCCUCUGUUGGUGUGCUGUGUAAUUAGAGGGUGGGGCCAGCUAUAGUAAGUCAGCUCUGGUCACACACACACAAACACAAAUGCACACAUAAUCAUUUGAAGCAAGUGCAGCCUCAGGUCAUGCAGGUGGGAAAAAAGGGUGUGUGUGUGGUGUGUGUGUGUGUGUGUGUGUGUACGCAUGCCUUAAAAGAGUAGUAAAGCAGGAAGAAUUACAGACGUGAAACGUGCACACAAUUCUUCUUGAUAGGAGGAAAUGCAGAUUGUAUCUGUUACGCAAGUCAACUCACAUGUUGCACAAGUGACAGCAACUUUAAAAUAGAUUCAAGAAAAUAAUAGCGGUGGUUGUCCAUUAUAAUAAUUGAAUUUAAAAUGAUCUAGAUGAGACUUCCAAGAGGACGGUAUAUCAGUCUAACCUGAUUAUUGAGCUGUGCUUGCUAGGACGCUGUCACAUAUUGUUCAUAUAUCAUAUUUUUUCCCCAAUCUCACAGGUGGCUGGAAGGUCAAUAGAACACAUGCCCACACAUUUGCGAUUUAGCAUUUACAGCUCCACAAAUUUGCAAACAUCUCAUUAACCAUAGGUUGGUAAUAAUAUACUGUAUGUGAAAAAACAAGUCAAACGUACAGCAUACUAGGGGUGUAUCUAUACAACUUUUACACUUCUGAUACAAUACUGAUAUUGCAGCCUCGAGCAUCUGAUAUCAGAAUCAAUCAUACAUACUUGUGUUAUAAAUAUGUUCAGAUGUUGGAAGGGUAAUGACGUGUGGGAUUCAGAGUUGAGUUUUAGUUUGCUAUGGGUUAUGGCCGCAACAGUAGCCCGUGUUAUUAUUAUUAUGAUUAUUGUUGUUAUUGUUAUUAAUAUUACUAUUAUUAUCAGAAUUAUUAUUGUUACUUUUAUUGUGCAUGUUGUGAGAUAAUUCAAACCUGGAAUAAAAGUUUUU